UACAGAGGUCCCAAGCGUUGUUCGGAUUCAUUGGGCGUAAAGGGUGCGUAGGCGGCGCGGUAAGUCGGGUGUGAAAUCUCGGAGCUUAACUCCGAAACUGCAUUCGAUACUGCCGUGCUUGAGGACUGGAGAGGAGACUGGAAUUUACGGUGUAGCGGUGAAAUGCGCAGAUAUCGGGAGGAACACCAGUAGCGAAGGCGGCUCGCUGGGCCAUACCUGACGCUGAGACGCGAAAGCGUGGGGAGCAAACAGG
This 253-nucleotide ribosomal RNA is filed under the name uncultured bacterium. Its description in RNAcentral is "partial 16S ribosomal RNA". It matches the Rfam family "Bacterial small subunit ribosomal RNA", at positions 524 to 776 of the family's 1533-position model. The record is from RNAcentral.